UCCGAAAAAAGAAUUUCCCGAUAUUUUU
RNAcentral lists this non-coding RNA (28 nucleotides) under Bombyx mori (domestic silkworm). Lineage: Eukaryota; Metazoa; Arthropoda; Insecta; Lepidoptera; Bombycidae. The record is from RNAcentral.